UACGAAGGGGGCUAGCGUUGCUCGGAAUCACUGGGCGUAAAGGGUGCGUAGGCGGGUCUUAAGUCAGGGGUGAAAUCCCGGAGCUCAACUCCGGAACUGCCUUUCAUACUGGCAAUCUAGAGUCCGGAAGAGGUGAGUGGAACUCCUAGUGUAGAGGUGGAAUUCGUAGAUAUUAGGAAGAACACCAGUGGCGAAGGCGGCUCACUGGUCCGGUACUGACGCUGAGGUGCGAAAGCGUGGGGAGCAAACAGG
Molecule: ribosomal RNA, 252 nt
Filed under: uncultured bacterium
Lineage: Bacteria
Description: partial 16S ribosomal RNA
Rfam family: Bacterial small subunit ribosomal RNA
Source: RNAcentral